AUAAUAUUGGAACUCUGCGGUCUUCCCAUUGUUUCUUAUGGGGGAAAUAUAGGCAUGUCUGUCUAUUUCGCCAAAUAUCUCGCAAUGUGUAUAUUUAGAUUUUUUUCAAGUCUUGUGUAACCGGUGUGAAAUGGCUAGCUAGAUAGUGGGGUGCGCGCUAAUAGCAUUUCAAUCGGUGACUUCACUCGCUCUGAGACCUUGAAGUGGCUUUUGUGGAGUGAUGGAUAACGAUGCUUCGAGGGUGGCUGUUGUCUAUGUGUGCAGAGGGUCCCUGGUUUGAGCCCAGUGGCUCACUUGUGGGCGUGCUGGCAGGAUAUGGCAGCAUCUUCGGUUGUGCGUCAAGAAUUCUGCGGACACCUACGAAGAUGGCAUCUCAGAGAGCAAGCUGAUCAAUGGGUCGAAAAUGUAGAUAUAGCCAGAUGUUCACUGUCCGAGGAACAGGCCAUGGAAGCUUUAUUGCUGACGAAAGUGUUCAUAACCAGAGCAUAAAGUACUCUGUAGCCACUUAGUGUGGACACGUAAUGGUGGUCUGGAGCAAUGAAGCCGUGACACUGGGCACCUCUAAGUCCCGCGGUGCAAGCUCACAACUUUUAAAGAAGGAACCACUGUACGUGCAUUGUGCAUGAGUGUGUGUGUGUGAGUGCAGUGUGUGUGUGUGCGUGUUUGUGUGUGUGUGCAGCAUGCGUGCGUGUGUGUGUGUAUUUUCCAUGUGUGUGUGUAUUGUGCUUGUGUGUGUGCGUGUGAUUUGCCCUGGAGGACUGAGUCACCGCCAUGAUUCAAUGGAGACACACAUACACACCAUCAGCUAUAGGGGACAGGACCAUGCCCCAGUUCAUAUGCUGAGUAACAGGACAGAAGGCCCAAUGAAGACCGAAGAACAAAAGGUUAAAGGUCAUGCCAUAUUAUAAUUUAUGAUAUUCCUCGUUCUGAUAUUUCCAAUAUUUUUCCACUUUUGGAUAAUGUGUGUAUUGUUAUUGUAUUGCUAGAUAUUACUGACUGUUGGAGCUAGACGCGUAAUAUUACUGACUGUUGGAGCUAGACGCGUAAAAUUACUGACUGUUGGAGUUGUAAACAUAAUAUUACUGACUGUUGGAAACAUAAUAUUACUGACUGUUGGAAACAUAAUAUUACUGACUGUUGGAAAUAUAAUAUUACUGACUGUUGGAAACAAUAUUACUGACUGUUGGAAACAUAAUAUUACUGACUGUUGGAGUUGGAAACAUAAUAUUACUGACUGUUGGAAACAUAAUAUUACUGACUGUUGGAAACAUAAUAUUACUGACUGUUGGAGUUGGAAACAUAAUAUUACUGACUGUUGGAAACAUAAUAUUACUGACUGUUGUAAACAUAAUAUUACUGACUGUUGGAGUUAGAAUCAUAAUAUUACUGACUGUUGGAGUUGGAAACAUAAUAUUACCGACUGUUGGAGUUAGAAACAUAAUAUUACCGACUGUUGGAGUUAGAAACAUAAUAUUACUGACUGUUGGAGUUGGAAACAUAAUAUUACCGACUGUUGGAGUUAGAAACAUAAUAUUACUGACUGUUGGAAACAUAACAUUACUGACUAUUGGAGUUGGAAACAUAAUAUUCCUGACUGUUGGAAACAUAAUAUUACUGACUGUUGGAAACAUAAUAUUACUGACUGUUGGAAACAAUAUUACUGACUGUUGGAAACAUAAUAUUACUGACUGUUGGAGUUGGAAACAUAAUAUUACUGACUGUUGGAAACAUAGUAUUACUGACUGUUGGAAACAUAAUAUUACUGACUGUUGGAGUUGGAAACAUAAUAUUACUGACUGUUGGAGUUGGAAACAUAAUAUUACUGACUGUUGGAAACAUAAUAUUACUGACUGUUGGAAACAUAAUAUUACUGACUGUUGGAAACAUAAUAUUACUGACUGUUGGAAACAAUAUUACUGACUGUUGGAAACAUAAUAUUACUGACUGUUGGAGUUGGAAACAUAAUAUUACUGACUAUUGGAGUUGGAAACAUAAUAUUCCUGACUGUUGGAAACAUAAUAUUACUGACUGUUGGAAACAUAAUAUUACUGACUGUUGGAAACAUAAUAUUACUGACUGUUGGAAACAUAAUAUUACUGACUGUUGGAGUUGGAAACAUAAUAUUACUGACUGUUGGAAACAUAAUAUUACUGACUGUUGGAGUUGGAAACAUAAUAUUACUGACUGUUGGAGUUGGAAACAUAAUAUUACUGACUGUUGGAAACAUAAUAUUACUGACUGUUGGAAACAUAAUAUUACUGACUGUUGUAAACAUAAUAUUACUGACUGUUGGAGUUAGAAUCAUAAUAUUACCGACUGUUGGAGUUAGAAACAUAAUAUUACCGACUGUUGGAGUUAGAAACAUAAUAUUACUGACUGUUGGAAACAUAAUAUUACUGACUGUUAGAAACAUAAUAUUCCUGACUGUUGGAAACAUAAUAUUACUGACUGUUGGAGUUGGAAACAUAAUAUUCCUGACUGUUGCAGUUAGAAUCAUAAUUACUGACUGUUGGAGCUAGAAACAUAAUAUUAUUGACUGUUGGAAACAUAAUAUUACUGACUGUUGGAAACAUAAUAUUACUGACUGUUGGAAACAUAAUAUUACUGACUGUUGGAGUUGUAAACAUAAUAUUACUGACUGUUGGAAACAUAAUAUUACUGACUGUUGGAGUUAGAAUCAUAAUAUUACUGACUGUUACAGAUGAAGAACCACAUAUGUUACAUUUAACUACUUUUAAUAUAAACAUCAUACACCAUUAUUUGAUAUCCUGUCUAUAAAAUGAAGUGGUCAUGCAAACUCUUUACGCACCCAUUAGCCGGUAUUUCACAUUUAAAAUAGACUCACCCAGUGCUUAAUUUGUAAAUCGGGAGGUGCCGGAACUCAUGAGAAAAUAAAUCACCUUUAUGAUAAAGCAUUGCGGGCAUAUCAUCACAUUUUCGUAGUGCCAUAGAGCAGUAGAGUUGAGGCACUUAUAGAGGUUGCACACAUGGGGAACAUUUUUAGCAGCCUAGGGUCCGGGAAAAAUGUGGCCUUUUAUAAACGCAUUUCAUGCAAUUCCACUUCAUUUUACAUGACUGGAGACUUUGGCAGAAUCUUUUUUAAAACCACACAAAUUAUCGAAAUGGCAGGAUACUUUGACACUGACAAACUGAGAAUCUAAGUUCAAUAAAAACGACCUUGUCUUGAAUCCAUCAAUAGUCUAUCCCAAGCGGUGUGGAGACACAUGUUGUAGGCUACAAUACGAGGAGGAAAUUAUAGUCAUAAACAUGCUUUCCAGUUUCACUGACACACCCAAUGAUGAGCAGCUCAGUCACUGGUGAUAUUUUGGUAGCCUACAGCAUAGAGUAUUUUCUUUUCAGCAGGAACCAUUUGCUUUCCAACCUGUGUUUUCCCUCGAUUGUAUUUGAAAUAUUGCAUACCCAGAAAAACCUAUAUGUCCGAAGCAAAAAAUGGAGCGGCCAGUGGUUUGUCUGAGCGCAGCGGGCAAAACCCGUCAAAUAUUAUAAAAAAUGGAAGAAUAAACAUAAAUUAAUGGAAGACUUGAGGGAUGCAGGGAAACCUUACAUCGUUCUCAAGGGAGAACAAAAACAAGGGAAAAGAGCAUGGGAAGAGGUACGUGGAAGAACCAUCUAUGUAAAAGGUUCUGUUGGCUAACGUUAGCUAGCUAGCAUGGUAUUGUUUGCUUUAGCCUAAUAAUUAUCCUGAUAGAUGUCAAAACAUUAGACAUAAAACUGUCAUCAUGUUAAAUUGGUAAAUGGCAUGGUUUUUGUUUGGAUUUUAUGGUAACUUCUGCACAGAUACCUGUGUGCCAAACUUCUAGAGGAGCGCAAGCUACAGCUUGUCAUAUGACGACAAGCCUGGAUUCUUUCUGGAUUGGAACAGGUAGGCAAGUUGAGAACAUGUUCUCAUUUACAACUGCGACCUGGCCAAGAUAAAGCAAAGCAGUGCGACACAAACAACAACACAGAGUUACACAUGGAAUAAACAAACAUACGGUCAAUAAUACAAUAGAGAAAGUCUAUAUACAGUGUGUGCAAAUGAUGUAGGAUAAGGGAGGUAAGGCAAUAAAUAGUCCACAGUCCGGAACCUCCAGAGACGGUCCACAGUCCGGAACCUCCAGAGACGGCUUACAGUCCAGAACCUCCUGAGACGGCUUACAGUCCGGAACCUCCUGAGACGGUCCACAGUCCGGAACCUCCUGAGACGGUCCACAGUCCGGAACCUCCUGAGACGGUCCAUGGCCCGAAGCCUCCAGCGAUGAUCCAUGGCCCGGAGCCUCCAGCGAUGAUCCAUGGCCCGGAGCCUCCAGUGAAGAGCCAAGGCCCAGAGCCAAGGCCCAGAGCCUUCAGCGACGGUCUGCAGUCCAGAGCCUCCAGCGACGGUCUGCAGUCCAGAGUCUUCAGCAACGGUCUGCAAUCCAGAGUCUUCAGCGACGGUCGGCAGUCCAGAGCCUUCAGCGACGGUCGGCAGUCCAGCGCCUCCAACGACGGCCGGCAGUCCAGAGCCUCCAGCGACGGUCGGCAGUCUAGAGCCUCCAGCGACGGUCUGCAGUCCAGAGCCUCCAGCGACGGUCUGCAGUCCAGGGCCUCCAGCGACGGUCUGAGGUCCAGAGCCUCCAGCGACGGUCUGCAGUCCAGAGCCUCCAACGACGGCCGGCAGUCCAGAGCCUCCAGCGACGGUCGGCAGUCUAGAGCCUCCAGCGACGGUCUGCAGUCCAGAGCCUCCAGCGACGGUCUGCAGUCCAGGGCCUCCAGCGACGGUCUGAGGUCCAGAGCCUCCAGCGACGGUCUGCAGUUCAGAGCCUUCGGCAACGGUCGGCAGUCCAGAGCCUCCGGCGACGAUCUAUGGUCCGGUUCCUCCGGCAACGAUCUACGGUCCGGAGCCUCCGGCGACGAUCCACGGUCCGGUUUCACGGAAGUGGGGGGAGCCUCAAGCGGAGCGGGGUCUGCGUCCCGCACCGGAGCCUCCACCGAGAGGAGUUGCCCACCUGGGUGAUGCCCACUUGGGUGGGCAUAUCUAUGUGUCUAUUUCUUUGUUGGCCUAGUAUGGUUCCCAAUCAGAGGCAGCUGUUUAUCAUUGUCUCUGAUUGGGGAUCAUACUGAGUCAGCCCUUUUUCCCACCUGUGAUUGUGGGAUCUUGUUUUUGUGUAGCUGCCUGUGAGCAGCCCAGAACGUAACGCUUCAUUUUCUUCUGUAUUGUUUUUGGUGAGUUUCAUAUUUAUUAAACAUGUGGAACUCUAAGUACGCUGCGCCUUGGUCCAAUCUUUACGACGAGCGUGACAUGGUGCUUAAAGUCAGUGAUGGAGAUAUGAGACUCCAGCUUCAGUGAUUUUUGCAGUUCGUUCCAGUCAUUGGCAGCAGAGAACUGGAAGAAAAGGCGGCCAAAGGAGGAAUUGGCUUUGGGGGUGACCAGUGAGAUAUACCUGCUGGAGCAUGUGCUACAGGUGGGUGCUGCUAUGGUGACCAGUGAGCUGAGAUAAGGCGGGCCUUUACCUAUCAAAGACUUAUAGAUGACCUGGAGCCAGUGGCUUUGGCGAGGAAUAUGAGCGAGGGCCAGCCAACGAGAGCGUACAGGUCACAGUGGUGGGUAGUAUAUGGGGCUUUGGUGACAAUACUACUUAAGUAGGUUUUUGUGGUAUCUGUACUUUACUUUACUAUUUAUAUUGUUGACAACUUUUAAUUUUACUUCACUACAUUCCUAAAGAAAAUAAUGUACUUUUAACUCCAUACAUUUUCC
This 5737-nucleotide long non-coding RNA is filed under the name Salmo salar (Atlantic salmon). RNAcentral's name for it is "lncRNA (ENSSSAG00000102470.1, ENSSSAG00000106913.1)". Lineage: Eukaryota; Metazoa; Chordata; Actinopteri; Salmoniformes; Salmonidae. The record is from RNAcentral.